Molecule: non-coding RNA, 226 nt
Filed under: Clostridium tetanomorphum
Lineage: Bacteria; Bacillati; Bacillota; Clostridia; Eubacteriales; Clostridiaceae
Description: T-box sequence
Rfam family: T-box leader
About the family: Uncharged tRNA acts as the effector for transcription antitermination of genes in the T-box leader family.
Source: RNAcentral
AGAAAUGCUGUGAAAAGGAAGAGUAAGCAGAUAAACUGUUAAAAGAGAGGAAAGCUCAUAGGCUGAAAAGUUUUCUUAACAGAGUUUGUUGAAAACCACCUUUGAGCUGUAUACUGAAAUAUAAGUAAGUAUAUCCGUUUCCUGCGUUAAAGGAUAAAAGAAAAUAAUAGAGUAAGUUUUUCUAUUAUUAACUUGGGUGGAACCACGGUGUGAAAUCGUCCCAUUU